Molecule: ribosomal RNA, 257 nt
Filed under: uncultured bacterium
Lineage: Bacteria
Description: partial small subunit ribosomal RNA
Rfam family: Bacterial small subunit ribosomal RNA
Source: RNAcentral
AGGACGAACGCUGGCGGCGUGCUUAACACAUGCAAGUCGAGCGGUGAUCCUCCUUCGGGAGGUGAUCAGCGGCGAACGGGUGAGUAACACGUGGGCAACCUGCCCCUCACACUGGGAUAACCUCGGGAAACCGGGGCUAAUACCGGAUACGACCUCGAGCGGCAUCUCUUGAGGUGGAAAGCUCCGACGGUGAGGGAUGGGCCCGCGGCCUAUCAGCUUGUUGGUGGGAUAAUGGCCUACCAAGGCGACGACGGGUA